RNAcentral lists this ribosomal RNA (531 nucleotides) under Odontotermes sp. ENT-MG383. RNAcentral describes it as "partial small subunit ribosomal RNA". It matches the Rfam family "Bacterial large subunit ribosomal RNA", at positions 1829 to 2606 of the family's 2925-position model. The record is from RNAcentral. Lineage: Eukaryota; Metazoa; Arthropoda; Insecta; Blattodea; Termitidae.
CAUCUUUUCUUGUUAGUUUCUGAAGUAUGGCCUGCCCGCUGACGUAUUUUGAGUUGAAGGGCCGCGGUAUUUUGACCGUGCAAAGGUAGCAUAGUCAUUAGUUCUUUAAUUGUGAUCUGGUAUGAAUGGCUUGACGAGACAUAGGCUGUCUUAGUGUGAAUUUAUUGUUGAAUUUGGAGUUUAAGUUAAAAUUCUUAGAUGUUUUUAUGGGACGAGAAGACCCUAUAGAGUUUUACAUUUGAUUGUGCAUUUCUUUUUGUUUGUUUUAGGUUUUUGCGUGUCUUUUGUUUUGUUGGGGUGAUGGGAGGAAUUUAUUUAACUCCUCUUUUUAUGUGAUAUAUUGAUUUAUAUUUGUUUUGAUCCAUUUAUUUUGAUUGUAAGACUAAAUUACCUUAGGGAUAACAGCGUUAUCCUCCCUGAGAGUUCUUAUUGGCGGGGGGGUUUGCGACCUCGAUGUUGGAUUAAGGUUUAUUUUUGGUGUAGGAGCUGAAUUGAUUAGGUCUGUUCGACCUUUAAAAUCUUACGUGAUCU